Molecule: long non-coding RNA, 3570 nt
Filed under: Homo sapiens (human)
Lineage: Eukaryota; Metazoa; Chordata; Mammalia; Primates; Hominidae
Description: non-protein coding lnc-CCDC102B-12:1
Source: RNAcentral
ACAUAUAUGUAUGUUUAUAUAUAAAACAUAUAUGUAUGUUUUAUAUAUAUAACAUAUAUGUAUGUUUUAUAUAUAUAACAUAUAUGUAUGUUUUAUAUAUAUAACAUAUAUGUAUGUUUUAUAUAUAUAUAUGUAUAUAAAGAAAAUCACAAACCUAGUCACUCUACUGAUGCAAAUGAUUUGGGGGUGUCUUCCUAGCUUUACAAUAAGAGGAGGGACCUCUGCUGCACCCUCUGUCUCAGUUUCAGGGCAACAUCUGGUCUCUUUGGAAGCAGCUUCCAUGCAUGACAUAAGCAAACAGGGCCCCGACUUUCUUCCUGAAGGCCACUUUUCACGCUUUUCAAACUAGUUUCUGUACGUCUGAAACAAACCCUCUGCAUGGAGGCCUGCAAUGUGCAUAGAUUGUUCAUAACUCAGAACGUUGACUUUAAUCAAUUGCUAAAUGUGUUACCUUUUGUUUGAAGAAAAAUAGGAUGCAAGUGUCUUUGUAUAUUCAAAUAAAAGCUAAUGAAUGAAAAAUUUCCAAUAACAUAAAUUUCAACUCCACAAUACAAGUCUCAAUGAGGCUAACCACUUUCUCUCAUUGUUUCUUUUAUCGUGGUAUGCGCUAGUGCAGGAUACUGACUUUUUUUUCAGAUUGGUCUUAGCACAAUUACUAAAAUAAUUUCAUUUUUCUACUUGAAAUGACAGAUUUAGCAGGAUUAACAUCUCAUAAGGGAUACCUCCAUAACCAAAACUGGAUAGAUUUUGGAGUUUUCACACUGACCUCAAGGAGCAAUGCAUUCCUUUUGCUAUUACUUUUGAAGACAUGAGACAUCUAUAUCUGAUUUUUUUUUUUUUUUUUUUGAGAUGGAGUCUCGCUCUGUCACCAGGCUGGAGUACAGUGGCUCAAUCUCAACUCACUGCAACCUCCGCCUCCCAGGUUCAAGCAAUUCUCCUGCCUCAGCCUCCCAAGUGGCUGGGACUACAGGCACCCACCACCACUCCUGGCUAAUUUUUGUAUUUUUAGUAGAGACGGGGUUUCACUAUGUUGACCAGGUUGGUCUUGAAUUCCUUACCUCGUGAUCCACCUGCCUCGGCCUCCCAAAGUGCUGGGAUUACAGGCGUGAGCCACCACACCUGGCCUAUACCUGAUAUUUCUUAUGCUUUGAUUACAAAUUCAACUGAGGAGACAGCAGAUGCUGAAAGUCUGAAGAAGUAGAAGGGACAUGUCAAAACUCAGCAAAUUAUAUCCUGUUUUUGUUCAUUCAGGCUGCUAUAACAAAAAUACCAUACCCUGGAUGCUUAUAAACAACAGAAAUGUAUGUCUCCCAGUCCCCGAAGCUAGGAUGUCCAAGAUCAAGUCACCAGCACAUGCAGCAUCUGUUGACAACCUACUACUUCUUGUUUCAUAGGUGUCUCUCUUUUCUCUGUGUCCUCACAUGCUGCAAAGGGCAAGGGAUCUCUCUGGGUCUUUUAUAAGGACGCUAAAUUCCAUUCCUGCUGGCAGAGCCCUCAUGACCUAAUGACAUCAACAACGGCCUCACAUCUUAAUAGCAUCACCUUGGGAGUUAGGUUUCCACAUAUGAAUUGUAGGAGGACACAAACAUUCAGUUUAUAGCAUAUGCAUAAGCAACUAAAGAGCAAAAAGAAGAGACUAUGGGCAUCUCCUAGAUAGGAAAUUGAAAUUCAGAAAGCAUAAGUAACUCAGUCAGGUGUGAGAAAUGGUGGAGCCUCCUUCCUAUUAUACUCUGUAGGAACAAUUUAAGGUUCCUGUAUGUGUAAUUGUCGGGAUAGCAGCUCUAAAUGUUAGAUCAUUCUUACCAGAUAAUAUAAAAAUGCAACAUGAUUCAAUCUGGUCAAUUUUGUUCUUUCCACCUAAAAUAAUUCUUCAUUAAAAUAUAGUUUUAAUUUACUGAAUUAAUUCUUUAAGCUGAAUAUAAACACAGUUGCAAUGUGAAGGAAAAGUAGAAAGCUUACAUAAUAUAUGUAAUGUGGACUGUCACCAAUCACCCCUAACUGUAAAUACAUGCUACAGAUGUUUUCUUACUUGUCUGAGUUGGAGCCCUGAACUGUACCCAGGUGUGUCCACUCUGAAAAGCUGUACUUCUGGGCUAGCACAGAAACAAACAGUAAUCAGAAGGGGUUACUAACCUAUUUCUCACCUUGGUUCUUCUGAAUAAACUCAGAAUUUAAUCUCACCAUCAAUAUAUUGAUGCAGAUCUCGGCUCACUGCAACCUCCCCCUGCCAGGUUCAAGUGAUUCUCCCGCCUUAGCCUCCUGAGUAGCUGGGAUUACAGGUGCCUGCCACCAUGCCCAGAUAAUUUUUGUAUUUUUAGUAGAGAUGGGGUUUCGCCAUGUUAGCCAGGCUGGUCUCAAACUCCUAAUCUCAGCUGAUCCACCUGCCCUGGUCUCCCGCAGUGCUGGGAUUACAGGCAUGAGCCACCACACCCCGCCUCCAGGAGCUACUCUUUAUAGUCUUCUCUCUUCUGUCUUGUUUCUCCUGUGGUUCUGUUUUGAGGCUUUCACACUUUACUCAGGAUGUGUACUUAUCACAGCUACUUUUGGAAGGAUUGCUGCUGAUGUAAUUUAUUACUCUCUUUACCUCGAUUUUUAAUAAAGAAAGCACUUUGAAAAUGUUUUUCUUUUACUCUAACUAUAUUCUCAGGAGUUUAUUACUACUUGCUCCAAAUCUGGGUUGUUUCCCUUUUGUUCACUUUGGACUUUUGUCUAAAGACCUCUGUUAGUAGAUGAAUAUUGCCUUUGAACAAAUAAAAAUAUUUGAACACAGUUUUACAUUGAUCUAUUUUAAUGAACCAAAGCAAGUUUUGCAUGAGUGUGCAGUAAUAGAUUUCCAAUGAGACUUUUAAAGUCAGUUUUAAAAUCUGCACUUUUGAAGAUUAAUUUCUUGUGCCAUGCCAAUGAAACACUGUCCCAUUGCCAACUCCACAAUGAUGUUUAGCUUUACUGAACUUCCUCCUGUGAAACUGAUCUUCAAGCCAAGUUAAACUUGUUUCCUUCAUAGAAAUAGUUAUAGGGACAAAUGACUUUAAGCAAUAGGAUGGAUCCAGCCUUCAAGGUGACAUGUAUUCACCUUAGCUCCAAAGCCAAUUAAGUAAACCAAAGGAUCCUUUUUUUGAACUAUCCUAAGCCAUUCCAAAAUUAUUUGUUUUAUCUCAUGGAAAAUGUUUUGAAUCUCAAGUCCCUUAAAACAUACUGCAGUUAUUAACAAAGUCAAGGAGUUAAAAGGCAGUCUGCCUGCAGAAUCUGCUGAACAAUGUGUCAACCUUAGGGAUAUAGUUAAAAACUGGAAUGGAUCUGGCCAGUCCCUUUGGUCUCACAGAAAUUCCUAAACCACACUGUACUUUGAAGCAAUUUUCCAGGCACCCCUCUUUGCAAGUUCUGCAUUGCUUCAGGGUCCUGACUUCUAAGGUUUAUUUUAAGAUCUUCUAAAAAGGGAUUAGAAAUCAGAGGAUGAAGGGUGGGAGGACGGAGAGAAUACUAGGCUUAAUAGCUGGAUGGUGAAAUAAUCUGUACGACAAACCCCCAUGACACCUGUGUAAUAAACCUGCACAUGUACCCAUGAACUUC